CUCAAAGCCACCCAUGAAAUGACCGUAAUAUCAAACACAGCCAAUUCCAUGGCUGUGUUUGAUGUGACUGGAACUUUUUCGCUAAAUGGUUGACGAACAGACAUGCUGUAAUCUUGGAAAGUCUUCAUUAACAGCUCCCUACAUUAGGUUAUGCACACUGAUCAAGUGAAAAAUAAUUUGCAAUUCUUUCCAGGGUUUUAAAUGUCUGGGUUUGCCGCUUCUCUGGUGUCUUGGUGUUAAAAUGGUUUUGAACGCUUUGGUUUAUACAGUGCCAACAGUCUGGACAUGUGGAGAUCUGUGCAUUUCUCACAGAUGAGGAGUGAGGGGCUGAAAAAGAGACCGGUUCACUGUGAGAUUCAUAGAGGCCUCUCAGGCAGCGUCCCGGCCCCGCGUCCCGCCUCUCAGGCUUCAUCCACCUGCUGUGUGGGAUAAAAAUAAAUCAUACAACUGCAUCCAAGACCCUGAACUCCAUUCAGUCAAAAACAAAAGAACAUCUUAAAUGGUCACAAAAAAAGGGGGGGUUGAUCUGAUACUUGCUUAAAAACUCUAGAAGAUCCUUUAGAAAAUGACCACUAUUGAUAAAGCAGCGCCGUGGUGGUUUGACUUUAAAAGCUGUUUCUCAGCACACGGCGGCUGUCACAGCAUUCUUAAAAAGGAGAAGAAGGAAAAAAA
Molecule: long non-coding RNA, 672 nt
Organism: Thalassophryne amazonica
Lineage: Eukaryota; Metazoa; Chordata; Actinopteri; Batrachoidiformes; Batrachoididae
Exons: 2
Source: RefSeq, a predicted model, not a curated record